UACGGAGGGUGCAAGCGUUAUCCGGAUUCACUGGGUUUAAAGGGUGCGUAGGAGGGCAGGUAAGUCAGUGGUGAAAUCUCCAAGCUUAACUUGGAAACUGCCGUUGAUACUAUCUGUCUUGAAUACCGUUGGAGGUGAGCGGAAUAUGUCAUGUAGCGGUGAAAUGCUUAGAUAUGAACAUAGAACACCAAUUGCGAAGGCAGC
This 204-nucleotide ribosomal RNA is filed under the name uncultured bacterium. RNAcentral's name for it is "partial 16S ribosomal RNA". It matches the Rfam family "Bacterial small subunit ribosomal RNA", at positions 524 to 725 of the family's 1533-position model. The record is from RNAcentral.